This 330-nucleotide ribosomal RNA is filed under the name uncultured eukaryote. RNAcentral describes it as "partial 18S ribosomal RNA". It matches the Rfam family "Eukaryotic small subunit ribosomal RNA", at positions 1470 to 1796 of the family's 1831-position model. The record is from RNAcentral.
CCCUUAGAUGUUCGGGGCCGCACGCGCGCUACACUGAAGGAAUCAGCACGUCUUUCUCCUUGUCCGAAAGGACUGGGUAACCCGCUGAACCUCCUUCGUGCUAGGGAUUGGGGCUUGUAAUUCUUCCCCAUGAACGAGGAAUUCCCAGCAAGCGCGAGUCAUAAGCUCGCGUUGAUUACGUCCCUGCCCUUUGUACACACCGCCCGUCGCUACUACCGAUUGGAUGGUUUAGUGAGAUCCUCGGAUUGGUCCCGGCGCGGCCUCUGGUCGUGCCGGAGUGCCGAAAAGAAUGUCGAACUUGAUCAUCUAGAGGAAGUAAAAGUCGUAACA